Molecule: ribosomal RNA, 660 nt
Filed under: uncultured bacterium
Lineage: Bacteria
Description: bacterial SSU rRNA
Rfam family: Bacterial small subunit ribosomal RNA
Source: RNAcentral
AGUGGCGGACGGGUGAGUAACGCGUGAGAAUCUGCCUUGGGGUCGGGGACAACCACUGGAAACGGUGGCUAAUACCGGAUACGCCUUCUGGUGAAAGAUUUAUUGCCCUAAGAGGAGCUCGCGUCUGAUUAGCUAGUUGGUGAGGUAAGAGCUCACCAAGGCAGCGAUCAGUAGCUGGUCUGAGAGGACGAUCAGCCACACUGGGACUGAGACACGGCCCAGACUCCUACGGGAGGCAGCAGUGGGGAAUUUUCCGCAAUGGGCGAAAGCCUGACGGAGCAAGACCGCGUGAGGGAGGAAGGCUCUUGGGUUGUAAACCUCUUUUCUCAGGGAAGAAGCUCUGACGGUACCUGAGGAAUCAGCCUCGGCUAACUCCGUGCCAGCAGCCGCGGUAAUACGGAGGAGGCAAGCGUUAUCCGGAAUUAUUGGGCGUAAAGCGUCCGCAGGUGGCGAUUCAAGUCUGCUGUCAAAGCACGGGGCUUAACUCCGUAAAGGCAGUGGAAACUGAAUAGCUAGAGUGCCGUAGGGGUAGAGGGAAUUCCCGGUGUAGCGGUGAAAUGCGUAGAGAUCGGGAAGAACAUCGGUGGCGAAAGCGCUCUACUGGACGGCAACUGACACUCAGGGACGAAAGCUAGGGGAGCGAAUGGGAUUAGAUACCCC